Molecule: ribosomal RNA, 1464 nt
Filed under: uncultured bacterium
Lineage: Bacteria
Description: bacterial SSU rRNA
Rfam family: Bacterial small subunit ribosomal RNA
Source: RNAcentral
AUUGAACGCUGGCGGCAGGCCUAACACAUGCAAGUCGAACGGUAACAGAAAGCAGCUUGCUGCUUUGCUGACGAGUGGCGGACGGGUGAGUAAUGUCUGGGAAACUGCCUGAUGGAGGGGGAUAACUACUGGAAACGGUAGCUAAUACCGCAUAACGUCGCAAGACCAAAGAGGGGGACCUUCGGGCCUCUUGCCAUCGGAUGUGCCCAGAUGGGAUUAGCUUGUUGGUGGGGUAACGGCUCACCAAGGCGACGAUCCCUAGCUGGUCUGAGAGGAUGACCAGCCACACUGGAACUGAGACACGGUCCAGACUCCUACGGGAGGCAGCAGUGGGGAAUAUUGCACAAUGGGCGCAAGCCUGAUGCAGCCAUGCCGCGUGUAUGAAGAAGGCCUUCGGGUUGUAAAGUACUUUCAGCGGGGAGGAAGGGAGUAAAGUUAAUACCUUUGCUCAUUGACGUUACCCGCAGAAGAAGCACCGGCUAACUCCGUGCCAGCAGCCGCGGUAAUACGGAGGGUGCAAGCGUUAAUCGGAAUUACUGGGCGUAAAGCGCACGCAGGCGGUUUGUUAAGUCAGAUGUGAAAUCCCCGGGCUCAACCUGGGAACUGCAUCUGAUACUGGCAAGCUUGAGUCUCGUAGAGGGGGGUAGAAUUCCAGGUGUAGCGGUGAAAUGCGUAGAGAUCUGGAGGAAUACCGGUGGCGAAGGCGGCCCCCUGGACGAAGACUGACGCUCAGGUGCGAAAGCGUGGGGAGCAAACAGGAUUAGAUACCCUGGUAGUCCACGCCGUAAACGAUGUCGACUUGGAGGUUGUGCCCUUGAGGCGUGGCUUCCGGAGCUAACGCGUUAAGUCGACCGCCUGGGGAGUACGGCCGCAAGGUUAAAACUCAAAUGAAUUGACGGGGGCCCGCACAAGCGGUGGAGCAUGUGGUUUAAUUCGAUGCAACGCGAAGAACUUUACCUGGUCUUGACAUCCACAGAACUUUCCAGAGAUGGAUUGGUGCCUUCGGGAACUGCGAGACAGGUGCUGCAUGGCUGUCGUCAGCUCGUGUUGUGAAAUGUUGGGUUAAGUCCCGCAGCGAGCGCAACCCUUAUCCUUUGUUGCCAGCGGUCCGGCCGGGAACUCAAAGGAGACUGCCAGUGAUAAACUGGAGGAAGGUGGGGAUGACGUCAAGUCAUCAUGGCCCUUACGACCAGGGCUACACACGUGCUACAAUGGCGCAUACAAAGAGAAGCGACCUCGCGAGAGCAAGCGGACCUCAUAAAGUGCGUCGUAGUCCGGAUUGGAGUCUGCAACUCGACUCCAUGAAGUCGGAAUCGCUAGUAAUCGUGGAUCAGAAUGCCACGGUGAAUACGUUCCCGGGCCUUGUACACACCGCCCGUCACACCAUGGGAGUGGGUUGCAAAAGAAGUAGGUAGCUUAACCUUCGGGAGGGCGCUUACCACUUUGUGAUUCAUGACUGGGGUG